AGAACGAACGCUGGCGGCAUGCCUAACACAUGCAAGUCGAACGCUUUUGGGGCUUCGGUCCCAAAGGAGUGGCGCACGGGUGAGUAGCGCGUGGGAACCUGCCCUGGAGUGGGGGAUAACCGAGGGAAACUUCGGCUAAUACCGCAUGCGCCCGGUUUACCUCGAAAGGGGGAAACCCGGGAAAGAUUUAUCGCUCUAGGAGGGGCCCGCGUCGGAUUAGCUUGUUGGUGGGGUAACGGCCUACCAAGGCUUUGAUCCGUAGCUGGUCUGAGAGGAUGAUCAGCCACACUGGGACUGAGACACGGCCCAGACUCCUACGGGAGGCAGCAGUGGGGAAUAUUGGACAAUGGGCGCAAGCCUGAUCCAGCAAUGCCGCGUGAGUGAUGAAGGCCUUCGGUUGUAAAGCUCUUUCGCACGCGAGGAUGAUGACGCUAGCGUGAGAAGAAGCCCCGGCUAACUUCGUGCCAGCAGCCGC
RNAcentral lists this ribosomal RNA (475 nucleotides) under uncultured bacterium. RNAcentral's name for it is "SSU rRNA". It matches the Rfam family "Bacterial small subunit ribosomal RNA", at positions 26 to 518 of the family's 1533-position model. The record is from RNAcentral.